AAUCAACGCUGGCGGCGUGCCUAACACAUGCAAGUCGAACGCGAAAGGGGCUUCGGCCCUGAGUAGAGUGGCGAACGGGUGAGUAACGCGUGGGUGACCUACCCUCGAGUGGGGGAUAACGUUCCGAAAGGGACGCUAAUACCGCAUGACAUUCCGGGUUCGAAGACCUGGAAAUCAAAGCCGGGGACCGCAAGGCCUGGCGCUCGGGGAGGGGCCCGCGUCUGAUUAGCUAGUUGGCGGGGUAAUGGCCCACCAAGGCGACGAUCAGUAGCCGGCCUGAGAGGGCGGACGGCCACACUGGGACUGAGACACGGCCCAGACUCCUACGGGAGGCAGCAGUGGGGAAUUGUUCGCAAUGGGCGCAAGCCUGACGACGCAACGCCGCGUGGAGGAUGAAGGUCUUCGGAUUGUAAACUCCUGUUGAUCGGGACGAACGGCUCCGACCCAAUACGUCGGAGAGUGACGGUAUCGGUUGAGGAAGCCACGGCUAACUCUGUGCCAGCAGCCGCGGUAAUACAGAGGUGGCGAGCGUUGUUCGGAAUUACUGGGCGUAAAGGGCGCGUAGGCGGCCUUCUAAGUCGAACGUGAAAGCCCCAGGCUUAACCUGGGAACUGCGUUUGAUACUGGAAGGCUUGGAUUCGGGAGAGGGAUGUGGAAUUCCAGGUGUAGCGGUGAAAUGCGUAGAUAUCUGGAGGAACACCGGUGGCGAAGGCGGCAUCCUGGACCGACAUCGACGCUGAGGCGCGAAAGCUAGGGGAGCAAACGGGAUUAGAUACCCCGGUAGUCCUAGCCCUAAACGAUGAGUGCUUGGUGUGGCGGGUAUCGAUCCCUGCCGUGCCGAAGCUAACGCAUUAAGCACUCCGCCUGGGGAGUACGGUCGCAAGGCUG
RNAcentral lists this ribosomal RNA (888 nucleotides) under uncultured Acidobacteriota bacterium. Its description in RNAcentral is "bacterial SSU rRNA". It matches the Rfam family "Bacterial small subunit ribosomal RNA", at positions 28 to 896 of the family's 1533-position model. Lineage: Bacteria; Pseudomonadati; Acidobacteriota. The record is from RNAcentral.